UACGUAGGGCGCGAGCGUUGUCCGGAAUUAUUGGGCGUAAAGAGCUUGUAGGCGGUUUGUCGCGUCUGCCGUGAAAAUUCGAGGCUCAACCUCGAACUUGCGGUGGGUACGGGCAGACUAGAGUGUGGUAGGGGAGACUGGAAUUCCUGGUGUAGCGGUGAAAUGCGCAGAUAUCAGGAGGAACACCGAUGGCGAAGGCAGGUCUCUGGGCCACUACUGACGCUGAGAAGCGAAAGCAUGGGGAGCGAACAGG
RNAcentral lists this ribosomal RNA (253 nucleotides) under uncultured bacterium. Its description in RNAcentral is "partial 16S ribosomal RNA". It matches the Rfam family "Bacterial small subunit ribosomal RNA", at positions 524 to 776 of the family's 1533-position model. The record is from RNAcentral.